RNAcentral lists this ribosomal RNA (253 nucleotides) under uncultured bacterium. RNAcentral's name for it is "partial 16S ribosomal RNA". It matches the Rfam family "Bacterial small subunit ribosomal RNA", at positions 524 to 776 of the family's 1533-position model. The record is from RNAcentral.
UACAGAGGAUGCAAGCGUUAUCCGGAAUGACUGGGCGUAAAGGGCGCGUAGGCGGACGGCUUUGUCGGGCGUGAAAUUCCAGGGCUUAACCUUGGGGCUGCGUUCGAGACGGGUUGUCUAGAGUUUGGAAGAGGGUCGUGGAAUUCCCAGUGUAGAGGUGAAAUUCGUAGAUAUUGGGAAGAACACCGGUGGCGAAGGCGGCGACCUGGUCCUUGACUGACGCUGAGGCGCGAAAGCGUGGGGAGCAAACAGG